Molecule: long non-coding RNA, 381 nt
Organism: Ornithodoros turicata
Lineage: Eukaryota; Metazoa; Arthropoda; Arachnida; Ixodida; Argasidae
Exons: 3
Source: RefSeq, a predicted model, not a curated record
UUUGCAGAUGCGUGGAAGCAGACGACAGAAGCGCGUGCAGCAACCCUCGCUCUCAUGUAUCGGGCCACAAAUUCCAUCACUCCUUCUGCCACCAAAAGCAGCGCAUUAGAGAGUACAUCAGCCCUGAUGCAGCUGUUCGACCGAAUCAGCUUCCGCGAGGAGGAUCUCUAUUUGGACUUUGUCUUUCUGAUCGCGCUUCACAUGUGCUACAGGAUCGGAUCCUUCUUCCUGCUCAUUGCCAGGUCCUACAACCGUCAAUGACGUCACUCCGUGUACGAAGAUCGCCAACAUCCUCCUCGUCCAUCUAGGAACUGUCCUCAUCUAACCAUUCCGCACACGCACCCGUUUACUGUACCGAUUAAACGAUUGCAUAUCAGCGCA